This 461-nucleotide unclassified non-coding RNA is filed under the name Hevea brasiliensis (rubber tree). Lineage: Eukaryota; Viridiplantae; Streptophyta; Magnoliopsida; Malpighiales; Euphorbiaceae. The record is from RNAcentral.
AAGUAAUACACCUUCUGGGUUUACACUAAAAUUAAGAAAGCACAUUCGUACGAGGAGGCUUGAGGAUGUGAGGCAGCUUGGAUAUGAUAGGGUAUAACCUUUCUGGAUCCUUUAAAGACUCUGCCAUUUCCUUUUUCUGUUCCUUGCUGGUGGUUUUACUGUGAGUGCUUUUGUCUUUCUUUUUUCCCCCUUAGAUAGUUCUCUUCCAAUUUGGACUUGCUGCUAACGCACAUUAUGUUAUAUUGGAGUUUUAUGCGCAAGGAAAUAUUCUACUGACUGAUUCUGAUUUUACAAUUCUUACACUUCUUCACUCUCACAGGUUGGUGGUUCUUUACACUUGACCAGGCCCACUAAUAGAAUAAAUUAUUUAAUAUUUCAUACAUUUCUGGCAUGUGAUUUAUUUUUUAAAUUAUGAACUGAUUGACAACUUAUUGAUGACAGGGAUGAUGAUAAAGGGUUUG